Neofelis nebulosa (Clouded leopard) is the source of this 1565-nucleotide long non-coding RNA. RefSeq lists it as uncharacterized. The transcript has 3 exons. Lineage: Eukaryota; Metazoa; Chordata; Mammalia; Carnivora; Felidae. The record is from RefSeq and is a predicted model, not a curated record.
CCCUCACUUCCUCUCCCUUCCCAAACCCCAGCUCGCAUCACCCUUCCCGCCUCCUCCCACCCCUCCCCUUUCUCCUCCCACUUCCUCCUUCCUUCUCCCUCUCGAGAAGGACCCGAAAAGCUGGAGUCGGCUUAUGCCGUCCCUGGAGUGGCCUGUGCACACCAGUCCCCUCCCUGCCCCUGGACAGCCACCCUGCUCCUGCCGGGCUGCAAGCUGCGAGGCCUUCAGAUCGGGGCACCCUUGGACCUGGCCUCCUUCAAGAGGCAGGAGCACAGACCUCCGCGACUAAGGUCCAGCGGGACUUGCAUCCCGUCCUCGUCUAGACGAUCUAGAAGAGGCUUCCGCCCUUCCCUGGCUCUCCACUCUCCUGCUUUGGGUGUCCAAGGACAGGACCUCCAGCCUAGCUUCCCGAGGCCAAACCUCUCCCUCUCUCUCUGCCCCAAAAGCCACCUCCCAAUCUUCCUGAGAGCCUGAUGCUCCCUUAAAAUCUGCUGCCCCCAGCUCUCCACUGUCCAUUGUGAAUCGGCCACAGGGUUUUGCGGUCUCCCCACAACCGAGGCAGCUGAGGACCCAUGGCUGUCAAGAUCACAGAAGGAUUCCACUUGCCACUUCUGCCCAUCGCUUCACCAAGUGAGGAACCCCAAUUUUCUACCUCUUCCGCCAAGCUUGUAAUGUUCAUGUUAAAAGAUAACCAACAGAACAGGGCACAGUAUUGUCCUGGGUUUUUGCCUCCCAAGUAGGGAAGCCACGGGCUGGCCAGAGAGUUGUAUUUUGUGAAUUCGUGUAGGUUUUUUGGGAAGGGAUCAGGGUGGAAGGGGUCUUUCCAAAACCUCUCUCAACCCUCCCACAUGACCUGAGACCAGAGAGGGGCUGCAAGCUGGGUGAGGAAGGGAGUUUGAGAAGGGCGAUUGCACAGAGAGCUUUGCCACGGGAAGCAGUGAGAACAUGCCAUCCCUCAGUACCCCUGAAUGAAGCCUACUGUUCUUCCUCCAAGACUGAAUAAAAAUGUAUUCUACGCUCAGAUCCACCAGACAAAGAAGGAAUAUAGCAACAAAGCAGGGGAGAGAUGAAAAUGGGCAGUCGGCUGUUCAUUCACAUACAUGUAGUUCAUCUGCAAGGCUUCCAAGAAAGCAGCCGCACACCAAAUCCUUUCCGACACUGCUGUAUCUGAGCCUCCUGUGAGAUAAUCCUCUUAAUGGAAUAUUUAAGAAAUCGGAUAUAAAUCACCAACCUUUUAUCUCACCUGAAGAUCCAUGCUCCAUUGGACGGAUGGUGUAUAUGUCUAUCUCCAUACGGAUGGGUGCAGGUGACUUUUCGAGCAGAGGUGGCAAUCUCUGCUUUUUUUAUUUUGAAGAUAGGGUUGUAAAGUUAUAAAGUUUAGAGAUCAGAGCCCAGAAAACAGCUGCACCUAGAGACAAUUAAAACACACAUCCCUUGGAAAAAACCUUUUUUGUCAUUUGCAACCAACAAAAAUGCCUGUUAUUGUGAUGUGCUCAUAAAUAACUUGAUUUUGGCAUAUGCUUUUGUACCAAACAGAAGAUGAAUAAAUUAAAUUUGAUUUACAA